CAGGCCUUGACAUGCACUAGACUGACAUUGAAAGGUGUCUUUCCUUCGGGACUAGUGCACAGGUGCUGCAUGGCUGUCGUCAGCUCGUGUCGUGAGAUGUUGCGUUAAGUCGCGCAACGAGCGCAACCCCUGUCCUUAGUUGCCAUCAGGUAAAGCUGGGCACUCUAGGGAGACAAACCCUCUCUGAGGGUGGGAAGGUGGGGAUGACGUCAAGUCAGGAUGGCCCUUACGGCCUGGGCUGCACACGUGCUACAAUGCCCGGUACAGAGGGACGCAAGACCGCGAGGUGGAGCAAAUCCUCAAAACCGGGCCCAGUUCAGAUUGCAGUCUGCAACUCGACUGCAUGAAGCCGGAAUCGCUAGUAAUGGCGUAUCAGCUACGACGCCGUGAAUACGUUCCC
Molecule: ribosomal RNA, 400 nt
Filed under: uncultured bacterium
Lineage: Bacteria
Description: bacterial SSU rRNA
Rfam family: Bacterial small subunit ribosomal RNA
Source: RNAcentral